This 2923-nucleotide ribosomal RNA is filed under the name Campylobacter coli. Its description in RNAcentral is "bacterial LSU rRNA". It matches the Rfam family "Bacterial large subunit ribosomal RNA". RNAcentral also lists the same sequence under 1 other name. The record is from RNAcentral. Lineage: Bacteria; Pseudomonadati; Campylobacterota; Epsilonproteobacteria; Campylobacterales; Campylobacteraceae.
AAAAAAGGUAAGCUACUAAGAGCGAAUGGUGGAUGCCUUGACUGGUAAAGGCGAUGAAGGACGUACUAGACUGCGAUAAGCUACGGGGAGCUGUCAAGAAGCUUUGAUCCGUAGAUUUCCGAAUGGGGCAACCCAAUGUAUAGAGAUAUACAUUACCUAUAUAGGAGCGAACGAGGGGAAUUGAAACAUCUUAGUACCCUCAGGAAAAGAAAUCAAUAGAGAUUGCGUCAGUAGCGGCGAGCGAAAGCGUAAGAGGGCAAACCCAGUGCUUGCACUGGGGGUUGUAGGACUGCAAUGUGCAAGAGGUGAGUUUAGCAGAACAUUCUGGAAAGUAUAGCCAUAGAGGGUGAUAGUCCCGUAUGCGAAAAACAAACCUUAGCUAGCAGUAUCCUGAGUAGGGCGGGACACGAGAAAUCCUGUCUGAAGCUGGGUCGACCACGAUCCAACCCUAAAUACUAAUACCAGAUCGAUAGUGCACAAGUACCGUGAGGGAAAGGUGAAAAGAACUGAGGUGAUCAGAGUGAAAUAGAACCUGAAACCAUUUGCUUACAAUCAUUCAGAGCACUAUGUAGCAAUACAGUGUGAUGGACUGCCUUUUGCAUAAUGAGCCUGCGAGUUGUGGUGUCUGGCAAGGUUAAGCAAACGCGAAGCCGUAGCGAAAGCGAGUCUGAAUAGGGCGCUUAGUCAGAUGCUGCAGACCCGAAACGAAGUGAUCUAUCCAUGAGCAAGUUGAAGCUAGUGUAAGAACUAGUGGAGGACUGAACCCAUAGGCGUUGAAAAGCCCCGGGAUGACUUGUGGAUAGGGGUGAAAGGCCAAUCAAACUUCGUGAUAGCUGGUUCUCUCCGAAAUAUAUUUAGGUAUAGCGUUGUGUCGUAAUAUAAGGGGGUAGAGCACUGAAUGGGCUAGGGCAUACACCAAUGUACCAAACCCUAUCAAACUCCGAAUACCUUAUAUGUAAUCACAGCAGUCAGGCGGCGAGUGAUAAAAUCCGUCGUCAAGAGGGAAACAACCCAGACUACCAGCUAAGGUCCCUAAAUCUUACUUAAGUGGAAAACGAUGUGAAGUUACUUAAACAACCAGGAGGUUGGCUUAGAAGCAGCCAUCCUUUAAAGAAAGCGUAAUAGCUCACUGGUCUAGUGAUUUUGCGCGGAAAAUAUAACGGGGCUAAAGUAAGUACCGAAGCUGUAGACUUGAUUUUAUCAAGUGGUAGGAGAGCGUUCUAUUUGCGCCGAAGGUAUACCGGUAAGGAGUGCUGGAGCGAAUAGAAGUGAGCAUGCAGGCAUGAGUAGCGAUAAUUAAUGUGAGAAUCAUUAACGCCGUAAACCCAAGGUUUCCUACGCGAUGCUCGUCAUCGUAGGGUUAGUCGGGUCCUAAGUCGAGUCCGAAAGGGGUAGACGAUGGCAAAUUGGUUAAUAUUCCAAUACCAACAUUAGUGUGCGAUGGAAGGACGCUUAGGGCUAAGGGGGCUAGCGGAUGGAAGUGCUAGUCUAAGGUCGUAGGAGGUUAUACAGGCAAAUCCGUAUAACAAUACUCCGAGAACUGAAAGGCUUUUUGAAGUCUUCGGAUGGAUAGAAGAACCCCUGAUGCCGUCGAGCCAAGAAAAGUUUCUAAGUUUAGCUAAUGUUGCCCGUACCGUAAACCGACACAGGUGGGUGGGAUGAGUAUUCUAAGGCGCGUGGAAGAACUCUCUUUAAGGAACUCUGCAAAAUAGCACCGUAUCUUCGGUAUAAGGUGUGGUUCGCUUCGUAUUAGGAUUUACUCCGAAAGCGAAGAAACUUACAACAAAGAGUCCCUCCCGACUGUUUACCAAAAACACAGCACUCUGCUAACUCGUAAGAGGAUGUAUAGGGUGUGACGCCUGCCCGGUGCUCGAAGGUUAAUUGAUGGGGUUAGCAUUAGCGAAGCUCUUGAUCGAAGCCCGAGUAAACGGCGGCCGUAACUAUAACGGUCCUAAGGUAGCGAAAUUCCUUGUCGGUUAAAUACCGACCUGCAUGAAUGGCGUAACGAGAUGGGAGCUGUCUCAAAGAGGGAUCCAGUGAAAUUGUAGUGGAGGUGAAAAUUCCUCCUACCCGCGGCAAGACGGAAAGACCCCGUGGACCUUUACUACAGCUUGACACUGCUAUUUGGAUAAGAAUGUGCAGGAUAGGUGGGAGGCUUUGAGUAUAUGACGCCAGUUGUAUAUGAGCCAUUGUUGAGAUACCACUCUUUCUUAUUUGGGUAGCUAACCAGCUUGAGUUAUCCUCAAGUGGGACAAUGUCUGGUGGGUAGUUUGACUGGGGCGGUCGCCUCCCAAAUAAUAACGGAGGCUUACAAAGGUUGGCUCAGAACGGUUGGAAAUCGUUCGUAGAGUAUAAAGGUAUAAGCCAGCUUAACUGCAAGACAUACAAGUCAAGCAGAGACGAAAGUCGGUCUUAGUGAUCCGGUGGUUCUGUGUGGAAGGGCCAUCGCUCAAAGGAUAAAAGGUACCCCGGGGAUAACAGGCUGAUCUCCCCCAAGAGCUCACAUCGACGGGGAGGUUUGGCACCUCGAUGUCGGCUCAUCGCAUCCUGGGGCUGGAGCAGGUCCCAAGGGUAUGGCUGUUCGCCAUUUAAAGCGGUACGCGAGCUGGGUUCAGAACGUCGUGAGACAGUUCGGUCCCUAUCUGCCGUGGGCGUAAGAAGAUUGAAGAGAUUUGACCCUAGUACGAGAGGACCGGGUUGAACAAACCACUGGUGUAGCUGUUGUUCUGCCAAGAGCAUCGCAGCGUAGCUAAGUUUGGAAAGGAUAAACGCUGAAAGCAUCUAAGCGUGAAGCCAACUCUAAGAUGAAUCUUCUCUAAGCUCUCUAGAAGACUACUAGUUUGAUAGGCUGGGUGUGUAAUGGAUGAAAGUCCUUUAGCUGACCAGUACUAAUAGAGCGUUUGGCUUAUCUUUAAUAAAGCAU